This 128-nucleotide small RNA is filed under the name Marmota monax (woodchuck). The record is from RNAcentral. Lineage: Eukaryota; Metazoa; Chordata; Mammalia; Rodentia; Sciuridae.
CCCGGGUGUGGUGGUGCAUACCUGUAAUCCCAGCUGCUUGGGAGGCUGAAGCAGGAGGAUGGAAAGUUUGAGGCCAGCCUCAGCAAUUCUAGUGAGGUGCUAAGCAACUCAGUGAGACCCUGUCUCUA